This 253-nucleotide ribosomal RNA is filed under the name uncultured bacterium. RNAcentral's name for it is "partial 16S ribosomal RNA". It matches the Rfam family "Bacterial small subunit ribosomal RNA", at positions 524 to 776 of the family's 1533-position model. The record is from RNAcentral.
CACGUAGGGUGCGAGCGUUGUCCGGAAUUAUUGGGCGUAAAGCGCGUGUAGGCGGCUUGUUAAGUCGGGUGUGAAAGCCCUCAGCUCAACUGAGGAAGUGCGCCCGAAACUGGCGAGCUUGAGUGUCGGAGAGGGUGGCGGAAUACCCCAAGUAGAGGUGAAAUUCGUAGAUAUGGGGUGGAACACCGGUGGCGAAGGCGGCCAUCUGGACGACAACUGACGCUGAGACGCGAAAGCGUGGGGAGCAAACAGG